This is a long non-coding RNA of Hippoglossus stenolepis (Pacific halibut), 565 nucleotides long. RefSeq lists it as uncharacterized. The record is from RefSeq and is a predicted model, not a curated record. The transcript is spliced from 3 exons. Lineage: Eukaryota; Metazoa; Chordata; Actinopteri; Pleuronectiformes; Pleuronectidae.
CUUCACAGUAGUAAGACAUUGAUCAGUGGAAUUUUCCAUCACACUAUAAGUCCGACCCAUUAACCACCCCAUUAAGGUUUGGUCAACAGUAUAUAAGUCAGGUACAUUUGAACAGGUGGGUCUGAGACUCACACUUGUCUCUGGAGGAGAAAGGAGUUCAUGAGCUUCAGUGUUGGCUGCAAACGUCAUUGACAGAAUUAUCUGGUCACACUUCAUUGCUUAGCUACUGAGAAAUUAAUAAAAAAUGGGGAACGUACCAUCAGAGAGUAACAUGGGCAACAGCCUGAGAUGCUGUGUAUGUGAUAAAGUCUUGCCUCCGUGCCAUUCUUUUGACAAUUUGUACAAAACUACUCUCCAUGGCCAAUAUGUUUAUGUCUUCAAUGGAGGCGAAUACUACAAACCAGUCGGUUACGAUAAUCGAUACCAUUGCCAACAUUGUUUUUAUAAGCCAAUCAGAGAUGAGGAACAAAGGCAGAGAGAGGAGGAGAGGAGGAGAGAAGAAGAGAGAAAGAGAGAGGAGGAGAGAAAAGAAGAGGAGAGAAAGAGAGAGCAGCAGAGACAAGAA